This 2187-nucleotide ribosomal RNA is filed under the name Escherichia coli. RNAcentral's name for it is "partial 23S ribosomal RNA". It matches the Rfam family "Bacterial large subunit ribosomal RNA", at positions 760 to 2925 of the family's 2925-position model. The record is from RNAcentral. Lineage: Bacteria; Pseudomonadati; Pseudomonadota; Gammaproteobacteria; Enterobacterales; Enterobacteriaceae.
CACUAACUGGAGGACCGAACCGACUAAUGUUGAAAAAUUAGCGGAUGACUUGUGGCUGGGGGUGAAAGGCCAAUCAAACCGGGAGAUAGCUGGUUCUCCCCGAAAGCUAUUUAGGUAGCGCCUCGUGAAUUCAUCUCCGGGGGUAGAGCACUGUUUCGGCAAGGGGGUCAUCCCGACUUACCAACCCGAUGCAAACUGCGAAUACCGGAGAAUGUUAUCACGGGAGACACACGGCGGGUGCUAACGUCCGUCGUGAAGAGGGAAACAACCCAGACCGCCAGCUAAGGUCCCAAAGUCAUGGUUAAGUGGGAAACGAUGUGGGAAGGCCCAGACAGCCAGGAUGUUGGCUUAGAAGCAGCCAUCAUUUAAAGAAAGCGUAAUAGCUCACUGGUCGAGUCGGCCUGCGCGGAAGAUGUAACGGGGCUAAACCAUGCACCGAAGCUGCGGCAGCGACACUGUGUGUUGUUGGGUAGGGGAGCGUUCUGUAAGCCUGUGAAGGUGUGCUGUGAGGCAUGCUGGAGGUAUCAGAAGUGCGAAUGCUGACAUAAGUAACGAUAAAGCGGGUGAAAAGCCCGCUCGCCGGAAGACCAAGGGUUCCUGUCCAACGUUAAUCGGGGCAGGGUGAGUCGACCCCUAAGGCGAGGCCGAAAGGCGUAGUCGAUGGGAAACAGGUUAAUAUUCCUGUACUUGGUGUUACUGCGAAGGGGGGACGGAGAAGGCUAUGUUGGCCGGGCGACGGUUGUCCCGGUUUAAGCGUGUAGGCUGGUUUUCCAGGCAAAUCCGGAAAAUCAAGGCUGAGGCGUGAUGACGAGGCACUACGGUGCUGAAGCAACAAAUGCCCUGCUUCCAGGAAAAGCCUCUAAGCAUCAGGUAACAUCAAAUCGUACCCCAAACCGACACAGGUGGUCAGGUAGAGAAUACCAAGGCGCUUGAGAGAACUCGGGUGAAGGAACUAGGCAAAAUGGUGCCGUAACUUCGGGAGAAGGCACGCUGAUAUGUAGGUGAAGUCCCUCGCGGAUGGAGCUGAAAUCAGUCGAAGAUACCAGCUGGCUGCAACUGUUUAUUAAAAACACAGCACUGUGCAAACACGAAAGUGGACGUAUACGGUGUGACGCCUGCCCGGUGCCGGAAGGUUAAUUGAUGGGGUCAGCGCAAGCGAAGCUCUUGAUCGAAGCCCCGGUAAACGGCGGCCGUAACUAUAACGGUCCUAAGGUAGCGAAAUUCCUUGUCGGGUAAGUUCCGACCUGCACGAAUGGCGUAAUGAUGGCCAGGCUGUCUCCACCCGAGACUCAGUGAAAUUGAACUCGCUGUGAAGAUGCAGUGUACCCGCGGCAAGACGGAAAGACCCCGUGAACCUUUACUAUAGCUUGACACUGAACAUUGAGCCUUGAUGUGUAGGAUAGGUGGGAGGCUUUGAAGUGUGGACGCCAGUCUGCAUGGAGCCGACCUUGAAAUACCACCCUUUAAUGUUUGAUGUUCUAACGUGGACCCGUGAUCCGGGUUGCGGACAGUGUCUGGUGGGUAGUUUGACUGGGGCGGUCUCCUCCUAAAGAGUAACGGAGGAGCACGAAGGUUGGCUAAUCCUGGUCGGACAUCAGGAGGUUAGUGCAAUGGCAUAAGCCAGCUUGACUGCGAGCGUGACGGCGCGAGCAGGUGCGAAAGCAGGUCAUAGUGAUCCGGUGGUUCUGAAUGGAAGGGCCAUCGCUCAACGGAUAAAAGGUACUCCGGGGAUAACAGGCUGAUACCGCCCAAGAGUUCAUAUCGACGGCGGUGUUUGGCACCUCGAUGUCGGCUCAUCACAUCCUGGGGCUGAAGUAGGUCCCAAGGGUAUGGCUGUUCGCCAUUUAAAGUGGUACGCGAGCUGGGUUUAGAACGUCGUGAGACAGUUCGGUCCCUAUCUGCCGUGGGCGCUGGAGAACUGAGGGGGGCUGCUCCUAGUACGAGAGGACCGGAGUGGACGCAUCACUGGUGUUCGGGUUGUCAUGCCAAUGGCACUGCCCGGUAGCUAAAUGCGGAAGAGAUAAGUGCUGAAAGCAUCUAAGCACGAAACUUGCCCCGAGAUGAGUUCUCCCUGACCCUUUAAGGGUCCUGAAGGAACGUUGAAGACGACGACGUUGAUAGGCCGGGUGUGUAAGCGCAGCGAUGCGUUGAGCUAACCGGUACUAAUGAACCGUGAGGCUUAACCUU